GUGCUCGCUUCGGCAGCACAUAUACUAAAACUGGAACGAUACAGAGAAGAUCAGCACAGGCCCUGCGCAAGGACGACACGCAGACAAUAAAAUAAAUAAAUAACCAU
This is a small nuclear RNA of Molossus molossus (Pallas's mastiff bat), 107 nucleotides long. Lineage: Eukaryota; Metazoa; Chordata; Mammalia; Chiroptera; Molossidae. The record is from RefSeq and is a predicted model, not a curated record.